AACGAACGCUGGCGGCGCGCCUAACACAUGCAAGUCGAGCGGGAAGCUUUUUAAGGAUUCUUCGGAUGAAUUAAAAAGUGGAGAGCGGCGGACGGGUGAGUAACGCGUGAGAAACCUGCCCUAUACAGGGGGAUAGCCAUUGGAAACGAUGAUUAAUACCCCAUAUGACCACAGUAUCGCAUGAUACAGCGGUGAAAACUCCGGUGGUACAGGAUGGACCCGCGUUAGAUUAGCUAGUUGGUAAGGUAAAGGCUUACCAAGGCGACGAUCUAUAGCCGACCUGAGAGGGUGAUCGGCCACACUGGAACUGAGACACGGUCCAGACUCCUACGGGAGGCAGCAGUGGGGAAUAUUGCACAAUGGGCGAAAGCCUGAUGCAGCGACGCCGCGUGAACGAUGAAGGCUUUCGAGUCGUAAAGUUUCUGUUCUUGGGGAAGAUAACGACGGUACCCAAGGAGAAAGC
Molecule: ribosomal RNA, 463 nt
Filed under: uncultured bacterium
Lineage: Bacteria
Description: bacterial SSU rRNA
Rfam family: Bacterial small subunit ribosomal RNA
Source: RNAcentral